UAUAAGGACUGGCAAAACGCCUUGAAC
Molecule: small RNA, 27 nt
Filed under: Bombyx mori (domestic silkworm)
Lineage: Eukaryota; Metazoa; Arthropoda; Insecta; Lepidoptera; Bombycidae
Description: ovarian small RNA-23273
Source: RNAcentral